CAUGCUAGUCGCACGGGUUUAGACCCGUGGCAAAUAGCUCAGUAACACGUGGCCAAACUACCCUGUGGACAGGGAUAACCUCGGGAAACUGAGGCUAAUCCCCGAUACAGCUCUCAUGCUGGAGUGCAGAGAGCUGGAAACGUUCUGGCGCCACAGGAUGUGGCUGCGGCCGAUUAGGUAGACGGUGGGGUAACGGCCCACCGUGCCUAUAAUCGGUACGGGUCAUGAGAGUGAGAACCCGGAGACGGUAUCUGAGACAAGAUACCGGGCCCUACGGGGCGCAGCAGGCGCGAAACCUUUACACUGCACGACAGUGCGAUAAGGGGACUCCGAGUGCGAGGGCAUACAGUCCUCGCUUUUCUGCACCGUAAGGUGGUACAGGAACAAGUGCUGGGCAAGACCGGUGCCAGCCGCCGCGGUAAUACCGGCAGCACGAGUGAUGGCCGAUUUUAUUGGGCCUAAAGCGUCCGUAGCCGGCCAGACAAGUCCGUUGGGAAAUCGACGUGCCUAACCCGUCGGCGUCCAGCGGAAACUGUCUGGCUUGGGGCCGGAAGACUCGAGGGGUACGUCCGGGGUAGGAGUGAAAUCCUGUAAUCCUGGACGGACCGCCGGUGGCGAAAGCGCCUCGAGAGGACGGACCCGACGGUCAGGGACGAAAGCUAGGGUCUCGAACCGGAUUAGAUACCCGGGUAGUCCUAGCCGUAAACGAUGCUCGCUAGGUGUGGCGCAGGCUACGAGCCUGCGCUGUGCCGUAGGGAAGCCGUGAAGCGAGCCGCCUGGGAAGUACGUCUGCAAGGAUGAAACUUAAAGGAAUUGGCG
Molecule: ribosomal RNA, 819 nt
Filed under: uncultured archaeon
Lineage: Archaea
Description: bacterial SSU rRNA
Rfam family: Archaeal small subunit ribosomal RNA
Source: RNAcentral